CCCGGUGUCCCCCCCAUCCCGGUGUGUCCCCCCCGCCCCCCCACGCGGACUUUGUGUCCAUCCCAAAGUCCCCGGGGCCGGAGCAGCCCCGGUCCCGGCCUUGGCCCCUGGCCGGAGCCGCGGCCCCCGGGUGAUGCAAUGGGACUGUGGAGGUUACAUCACCCAGCCCCGGCCUCGGGGGUCAGGGGGGCGCUGGGAGCCCCCCCUGCUUGUGCACGGGGCAGGGUCCCCCCACAGCCCCCCCCCGACGGCGAGGGGGGGUCCCAUGGGUGAGAGCCCAGCUUGGGGGGAUCCCUCUGUGCCUUGUGGGGCGCUUGGGGAGGACCCCAAGUGUUCGGGGGGGGUCGUUGUGUGGCUUCUGAGGACUUUGGGAGGGUCCCCAUGUACCCUGUGGGGGCCUUAGGAGGAUCCCCAUGUGACUUUGGGGUCCCCAUGUGCCCUGUGGAGAGCUUUGGGGGGUCUCCAUGUGUCUUUUGGGGUCCCCUUGUGCCUUGUGGGAACCUUGGAGGGAUUCCCAUGUGCCCUGUGUGGAGUUUGUGGGGUCCCCAUGUGCUUUUGGGGGACCAUGGAGGAAUCUCCAUGUGCCCUGUGGGGUCUUUAGGGUCCCCACGUACCCUGUGGGGCCUUGGGAGGAUCCCCAUGUGACUUUUGGGGUCCCCAAGUGCCCUGUGGAGAGCUUUGGGGGGUCCCCUUGUGCCUCGUGGGACCCUUGGAGGGAUUCCCAUGUGCCCUGUGUGGAGUUUGUGGGGGUCCCCAUGUGACUUUUGGGGUCCCCACUUGUCCUGUGUGGUCUUUAGGGGGUCCCCAAGUGCCCUGUGGAGAGCUUUGGGGGAUGUCCAUGUAGCUUUAGGGGGUCCCCAUGUGCUCUAUGGGGUCCCCAUGGGGUCCCCAUGUUCCCUGUGGGGUCUUUAGGGGUCCCCAUGUGCCCUGUGGGGUCUUUAGGGGGUCCCCACGUGCCCUGUGUGUCCCCGGGCUCACCUCGGGGGGUGACACCGCAGGCAGAGCACUGGGGGUGUUGCUCCUGCUGCUCGUGGGGCGGGCUGGGGGGGCUGCAGGGUCCCAGCCCGUGCCCCCCGCCC
This is a long non-coding RNA of Oenanthe melanoleuca, 1079 nucleotides long. RefSeq lists it as uncharacterized. The transcript has 3 exons. The record is from RefSeq and is a predicted model, not a curated record. Lineage: Eukaryota; Metazoa; Chordata; Aves; Passeriformes; Muscicapidae.